CGCGUAGGCGGUUUGCUAAGUCCGCUGUGAAAGCCCCGGGCUUAACCUGGGAACUGCAGUGGAUACUGGCAAGCUAGAGUAUGGUAGAGGAGAGUGGAAUUUCCGGUGUAGCAGUGAAAUGCGUAGAGAUCGGAAGGAACACCAGUGGCGAAGGCGGCUCUCUGGACCAAUACUGACGCUGAGGUGCGAAAGCGUGGGGAGCAAACA
This 207-nucleotide ribosomal RNA is filed under the name uncultured Methyloparacoccus sp. Its description in RNAcentral is "partial 16S ribosomal RNA". It matches the Rfam family "Bacterial small subunit ribosomal RNA", at positions 568 to 774 of the family's 1533-position model. Lineage: Bacteria; Pseudomonadati; Pseudomonadota; Gammaproteobacteria; Methylococcales; Methylococcaceae. The record is from RNAcentral.